This 85-nucleotide transfer RNA is filed under the name Felis catus (domestic cat). It matches the Rfam family "tRNA". Rfam says of the family: Transfer RNA (tRNA) molecules are approximately 80 nucleotides in length. Their secondary structure includes four short double-helical elements and three loops (D, anti-codon, and T loops). Further hydrogen bonds mediate the characteristic L-shaped molecular structure. tRNAs have two regions of fundamental functional importance: the anti-codon, which is responsible for specific mRNA codon recognition, and the 3' end, to which the tRNAs corresponding amino acid is attached (by aminoacyl-tRNA synthetases). tRNAs cope with the degeneracy of the genetic code in two manners: having more than one tRNA (with a specific anti-codon) for a particular amino acid; and 'wobble' base-pairing, i.e. permitting non-standard base-pairing at the 3rd anti-codon position. The record is from Rfam by way of RNAcentral. Lineage: Eukaryota; Metazoa; Chordata; Mammalia; Carnivora; Felidae.
GCCUGGGUGGUUAAGCCGGUUAAGCACCUGACUUCGACUCAGGUCAUGAUCUCAUAGUUCGUGAGUUCAAGCCCCACAUUGGGCU